Molecule: ribosomal RNA, 385 nt
Filed under: Clostridioides difficile
Lineage: Bacteria; Bacillati; Bacillota; Clostridia; Peptostreptococcales; Peptostreptococcaceae
Description: bacterial LSU rRNA
Rfam family: Bacterial large subunit ribosomal RNA
Source: RNAcentral
GUAGGAUAAGCUAAGCACACUGUUGGUUAUGUGUGCCCAAGCAUUGAGGCAGUCAAAGUAGGCAAAUCCGCUUUGAUAAUGCUGGGAUGUGAUGGGGAGCGAAAUUUAGUAGCGAAGUAGCUGAUUUCACACUGUCAAGAAAAGUCUCUAUCGAGGUUAAAGGUACCCGUACCGCAAACCGACACAGGGGGGUGAGGAGAGUAUCCUAAGGCCAGCGAGAGAACUGUUGGUAAGGAAAGCGGCAAAAUGACCCCGUAACUUAGGGCUAAGGGGUGCCCCCAUCCGGUGGCCGCAGAGAAUAGGCCCAAGCGACUGUUUACCAAAAACAUAGGUUUCUGCUAAGUCGCAAGACGAUGUAUAGGAGCUGACGCCUGCCCGGUGCUGG